GAUGAACGCUGGCGGCGUGCCUAAUACAUGCAAGUCGAGCGAACGGACGAGAAGCUUGCUUCUCUGAUGUUAGCGGCGGACGGGUGAGUAACACGUGGAUAACCUACCUAUAAGACUGGGAUAACUUCGGGAAACCGUAGCUAAUACCGGAUAAUAUUUUGAACCGCAUGGUUCAAAAGUGAAAGACGGUCUUGCUGUCACUUAUAGAUGGAUCCGCGCUGCAUUAGCUAGUUGGUAAGGUAACGGCUUACCAAGGCAACGAUGCAUAGCCGACCUGGGAGGGAGAUGCGCCCCCAGGGUAAGGAGAAACGCUCCAACACCCAACGGAGGGCGCCGGUGGGGACUCUCCGGAAAGGGGCGAACGCUUAACGGAGCAACGCGGCGGGGGCGAGAAAGGUUUUCGGAUGGGAAAACUUUUUUAUUAGGGAAAAAAAUAUGUUUAAGUAACGGGCCCACCUUUGACGGCACCAAACGAGAAACCCCGGCUCAAUUCCCA
This 496-nucleotide ribosomal RNA is filed under the name uncultured bacterium. RNAcentral describes it as "partial 16S ribosomal RNA". It matches the Rfam family "Bacterial small subunit ribosomal RNA", at positions 28 to 506 of the family's 1533-position model. The record is from RNAcentral.